CGUGCGGAUCGGGCCAUCGCUCCGUCGCGCCGACACCUGCCGGGAGCCGAUCUCGGCCGCUGCCGGGGCGGCGGUGAGGAAAGUCCGAACACCACAGGGUACCGUGCUUCCUAACGGGAAGGCGCCCCGACAGCAGUCGGGACGACGGCACGUGCAACAGAGAGCAGUCCCACCCCGGCAGACGUCGGGGCAAGGGGUGCAAGGGUGUGGUAAGAGCGCACCGGCGUUCCGGGCGACCGGAACGGCCAGGCAAACCCCACGGGGUGUAAGGCCAAGUCGCACCGCCCUCCGAUCCUCACUGGAGUUAAGGCUACCCGCCGAGAAUGCGGUGCAGGUGGGCCGCUUGAGGCGGUCGGCGACGGCCGUCCCAGAUAGAUGAUGGCCUCCCCACGAGCCCGGCACGGACCGACCGUGGGCAGACCGAAUUCGGCUUACAGAUCCGCACGCGCC
This 450-nucleotide RNase P RNA is filed under the name Bacteroidetes bacterium QH_10_64_19. Its description in RNAcentral is "RNase P RNA component class A". It matches the Rfam family "Bacterial RNase P class A". From Rfam's summary of the family: Ribonuclease P (RNase P) is a ubiquitous endoribonuclease, found in archaea, bacteria and eukarya as well as chloroplasts and mitochondria. Its best characterised activity is the generation of mature 5'-ends of tRNAs by cleaving the 5'-leader elements of precursor-tRNAs. Cellular RNase Ps are ribonucleoproteins. Lineage: Bacteria; Pseudomonadati; Bacteroidota. The record is from RNAcentral.